AGAGUUUGAUCCUGGCUCAGGAUAAACGCUGGCGGCGUGCCUAAUACAUGCAAGUCGAUCGAUAGAAGUCCAGCUUGCUGGACGGAAAUAGAGGCGAACGGGUGAGUAAUACGUAAGCAACCUGCCCACGAAGACCGGGAUAAUCCCUGGAAACGGGGACUAAGACCGGAUAGGUACACAGACCGCAUGAUCAGUGUAUUAAAGGAGAGAGACACUGGUGGAUGGGCUUACGGUGCAUUAGCUGGAUGGUGAGGUAACGGCCCACCAUGGCGAUGAUGCAUAGCCGGGCUGAGAGGCUGAACGGCCACAUUGGGACUGAGACACGGCCCAGACUCCUACGGGAGGCAGCAGUAGGGAAUUUUCGGCAAUGGGGGCAACCCUGACCGAGCAACGCCGCGUGAGUGAUGAAGGUCUUCGGAUUGUAAAGCUCUGUUGUAAGGGAAGAACGGCAUCUAGAGAAUAGGUGAGUGACGGUACCUUACCAGAAAGCUACGGCUAACUACGUGCCAGCAGCCGCGGUAAUACGUAGGUGGCGAGCGUUAUCCGGAAUUAUUGGGCGUAAAGGGUGCGUAGGCGGCCUGUUAAGUUUAUGGUGAAAGCGUGGGGCUCAACCCCAUAAAGCCAUAGAUACUGGCAGGCUAGAGUACUGGAGAGGGUAGUGGAAUUCCAUGUGUAGCGGUAAAAUGCGUAGAUAUAUGGAGGAACACCGGUGGCGAAGGCGGCUACCUAGACAGAGACUGACGCUGAGGCACGAAAGCGUGGGGAGCAAAUAGGAUUAGAUACCCUAGUAGUCCACGCCGUAAACGAUGAAUGCUAGGUGUCGGGGCGACCCGGUGCCGAAACUAACGCGAUAAGCAUUCCGCCUGUGGAGUAUGCACGCAAGUGUGAAACAUAAAGGAAUUGACGGGGGCCCGCACAAGCGGUGGAGUAUGU
This 933-nucleotide ribosomal RNA is filed under the name human gut metagenome. RNAcentral's name for it is "bacterial SSU rRNA". It matches the Rfam family "Bacterial small subunit ribosomal RNA", at positions 8 to 942 of the family's 1533-position model. The record is from RNAcentral.